This 491-nucleotide ribosomal RNA is filed under the name uncultured bacterium. Its description in RNAcentral is "partial 16S ribosomal RNA". It matches the Rfam family "Bacterial small subunit ribosomal RNA", at positions 28 to 507 of the family's 1533-position model. The record is from RNAcentral.
GAUGAACGCUGGCUACAGGCUUAACACAUGCAAGUCGAGGGGAAACGCCGGGGACGCUUGCUUCCCCGGGCGUCGACCGGCGCACGGGUGAGUAACGCGUAUCCAACCUGCCUCUGACUGAGGGCUAACCCGACGAGAGUCUGCCUAAUACCUCAUGGUAUCGUCUGCGGGCAUCCAACGACGAUUAAAGAUUUCAUCGGUCAGGGAUGGGGAUGCGUCUGAUUAGCUUGUUGGCGAGGUAACGGCCCACCAAGGCUACGUUCAGUAAGGGUGCUGGGAGGAAGCUCCACCAGAAUGGAACUGAGAUACGGUCCAAACUCGGACGCGAGGCAGCAGUGAGGAAUACUGGUGGAGGGGCGAGGGCCGGAACCAGCCAAGUAGCGUGCAGGAAGACGGCCAUAGGGGUUGUAAACUGCUUGGAUGCGGGGAUAAAGUGAGGGACGUGUCACUCAUUGCAGGUACCGAAUGAAUAAGGACCGGCUAAUUCCGUG